This is a long non-coding RNA of Tupaia belangeri chinensis (Chinese tree shrew), 219 nucleotides long. RefSeq lists it as uncharacterized. Lineage: Eukaryota; Metazoa; Chordata; Mammalia; Scandentia; Tupaiidae. The transcript is spliced from 3 exons. The record is from RefSeq and is a predicted model, not a curated record.
ACAGGAACUUCCAAAGAAAGUACAGUCAUGCCAAGAGCCAUACUACAUUUCAUUGUUCCAUUCAUGAGGAAAUUACAUUAAUUUGCUCUCUGUUCCUCUGGAGCCCUGAUGAAGGUGUUUUGGGAAGUGAAACUGAGCUGUGUCCCUGAGUCUCAUAAGGAAAAUCACCCUCUCAGGAACAGAAGAGAAUCCAGUCUAAAUCACAAAAUACAUUAAAUA